GAUGAACGCUGGCGGCGUGCCUAAUACAUGCAAGUCGAGCGAACGGACGAGAAGCUUGCUUCUCUGAUGUUAGCGGCGGACGGGUGAGUAACACGUGGAUAACCUACCUAUAAGACUGGGAUAACUUCGGGAAACCGGAGCUAAUACCGGAUAAUAUUUUGAACCGCAUGGUUCAAAAGUGAAAGACGGUCUUGCUGUCACUUAUAGAUGGAUCCGCGCUGCAUUAGCUAGUUGGUAAGGUAACGGCUUACCAAGGCAACGAUGCAUAGCCGACCUGAGAGGGGGUCCGGCCAAACUGGAACGGGGACACGGUCCGGACCCCUAGGGGAGGCAGCAGUAGGAAAUCUUCCGAAAUGGGCGAAAGCCUGACGGAGCAACGCCGGGUGAGUGAUGAAGGUCUUCGGAUCGUAAAACUCUGUUAUUAGGGAAAAACAUAUGUGAAAGUAACUGUGCCCAUCUUGAAGGUACCAAAGAAGAAAGCAACGGCAAACUGCGU
This 496-nucleotide ribosomal RNA is filed under the name uncultured bacterium. RNAcentral's name for it is "partial 16S ribosomal RNA". It matches the Rfam family "Bacterial small subunit ribosomal RNA", at positions 28 to 506 of the family's 1533-position model. The record is from RNAcentral.